This is a small nuclear RNA of Pipistrellus kuhlii (Kuhl's pipistrelle), 107 nucleotides long. The record is from RefSeq and is a predicted model, not a curated record. NCBI's taxonomy places the organism in Eukaryota, Metazoa, Chordata, Mammalia, Chiroptera, Vespertilionidae.
GUGCUCGCUUCAGCAGCACACGUACUAAAAUUGGAACAAUACAGAGGAGAUUAGCAUGGCCCCUGCGCAAGGAUGAUAGGCAAAUUUGUGAAGCGUUCCAUAUUUUU